UCCCUAGUGGCUCAGACGGUAAAGCAUCUGCCUGGAAGGCAGGAGACCCAGGUUCAAUCCCUGGGUCAGGAA
RNAcentral lists this transfer RNA (72 nucleotides) under Bos taurus (domestic cattle). It matches the Rfam family "tRNA". From Rfam's summary of the family: Transfer RNA (tRNA) molecules are approximately 80 nucleotides in length. Their secondary structure includes four short double-helical elements and three loops (D, anti-codon, and T loops). Lineage: Eukaryota; Metazoa; Chordata; Mammalia; Artiodactyla; Bovidae. RNAcentral also lists the same sequence under 6 other names. The record is from Rfam by way of RNAcentral.